GACGAACGCUGGCGGCGUGCCUAAUACAUGCAAGUUGAGCGCUGAAGGUUGGUACUUGUACCAACUGGAUGAGCAGCGAACGGGUGAGUAACGCGUGGGGAAUCUGCCUUUGAGCGGGGGACAACAUUUGGAAACGAAUGCUAAUACCGCAUAAAAACUUUAAACACAAGUUUUAAGUUUGAAAGAUGCAAUUGCAUCACUCAAAGAUGAUCCCGCGUUGUAUUAGCUAGUUGGUGAGGUAGAGGCUCACCAAGGCGAUGAUACAUAGCCGACCUGAGAGGGUGAUCGGCCACCAUGGGAAUGAGACAACGCCCCAGACCCUACCGGAAGCAGAAGUAGGGGAUCUUCGGCAAUAGACGAAAGUCUGACCGCGCAACGCCGCGUGAGUGAAGAAGGUUGUCGGAUUGUAAAACUCUGUUGGUAGAGAAGAACGAUGGUGAGAGUGGAAAGCUCAUCAAGUGACGGUACCUACCCAGAAAGCAACGGCUAACUACGUG
This 497-nucleotide ribosomal RNA is filed under the name uncultured bacterium. RNAcentral's name for it is "partial 16S ribosomal RNA". It matches the Rfam family "Bacterial small subunit ribosomal RNA", at positions 28 to 507 of the family's 1533-position model. The record is from RNAcentral.